CCUACGGGGGGCUGCAGUAACGAAUAUUCCGCAAUGGACGCAAGUCUGACGGAGCGACGCCGCGUGGAGGAUGAAGUCCCUCGGGAUGUAAACUUCAAUAGUUUGUCAGGAAGCGAAAGGACCUAAUACGUCCUUAGUUGACCAUCAAACGAAAGGGGUGGCUAACUCCGUGCCAGCAGCCGCGGUAAGACGGAGACCCCAAGCGUUGUUCGGAAUCACUGGGCUUAGAGCGGGUGUAGGCGGGACGGUAAGUACUGAGUGAAAUCCCCGGUCUCAACCCGGGAACUGCUUGGUAUACUGCCGUUCUUGAGGCAGGUAGGGGUCACUGGAACCUUAGGUGGAGCGGUGAAAUGCGUAGAUAUCUAAGGGAACGCCUGUGGCGAAAGCGGGUGACUGGGCCUGUUCUGACGCUGAGACGCGAAAGCGUAGGGAGCAAACGGGAUUAGAUACCCCUGUAGUC
This 460-nucleotide ribosomal RNA is filed under the name uncultured bacterium. Its description in RNAcentral is "bacterial SSU rRNA". It matches the Rfam family "Bacterial small subunit ribosomal RNA", at positions 338 to 795 of the family's 1533-position model. The record is from RNAcentral.